UACGAAGGGGGCUAGCGUUGCUCGGAAUCACUGGGCGUAAAGGGUGCGUAGGCGGGUCUUUAAGUCAGGGGUGAAAUCCUGGAGCUCAACUCCAGAACUGCCUUUGAUACUGAGGAUCUUGAGUACGGGAGAGGUGAGUGGAACUGCGAGUGUAGAGGUGAAAUUCGUAGAUAUUCGCAAGAACACCAGUGGCGAAGGCGGCUCACUGGCCCGUUACUGACGCUGAGGCACAAAAGCGUGGGGAGCAAACAGG
Molecule: ribosomal RNA, 253 nt
Filed under: uncultured bacterium
Lineage: Bacteria
Description: partial 16S ribosomal RNA
Rfam family: Bacterial small subunit ribosomal RNA
Source: RNAcentral